Molecule: long non-coding RNA, 2620 nt
Organism: Phragmites australis (common reed)
Lineage: Eukaryota; Viridiplantae; Streptophyta; Magnoliopsida; Poales; Poaceae
Exons: 3
Source: RefSeq, a predicted model, not a curated record
UCGGCCUGUCCCUGUCCUUUGAUGGAGCCGCCAACUUCGCGGUGUAUAGCAAGGGCGCCAGUGGUGUUGUGCUCUGCCUGUACGACGGCGAUGGCAGCGGGAACGAGCCUGCGCUGGAGAUCGAGCUCGACCCGUACGUCCACCGGACGGGCGAUGUCGCGUUGACAUCGCGCAAUACACGCUGCCCCGCGCCAAGGCCAGGAUCCAGUUCGAUCGUAUUGCGCAAUUCUUUCUUUCUUCUCGCAGAUUCGGUUCGAUCGUGGGGCGGCGAUCCGGUGGGAGGCAAUAGGCGACCAACGGCCAUGUCGGGCAUGUUCGGCAGGGUGUUCGGGAAGUCCAGGGAACAGAGCCAGGCCACCGCUUUGGCCUCGCUCAACAAGCUCAACGAGGAGAGGGAAGAAAGGGAGGCACGCGCAGCAGAAGAUGGAUGGACAGUUGUGGUGCAUCACAAGGGUAGGAAAAAAACCCACAGAUACUGAAACUGGAACAACUAUUGGCUCUGUAUCUCUUGCUGCAAUGCAAGGGAAAAUGGCUAACAAGAAACCCAAGGAAGUUGCUCAAAACUUGUACAGAUUUUAGAAACGAGAAGCCCACCUCAGUGAACUCGCGAUGUUGCGGAAAUCUCAGCUGGCGUUUGAUUGAGCAACAAAGCACACCUGCAGAGUUAAAAGGUUGGUCAAUUUAGUGUUUCUUUCCGGUCAUCUAUACUUUAUUAUGUGAACUGUUUAGUGAUUUGGUUUUGAUUGGACACUACCGAGCAAUAAUUUUAUUUCUUCCUUUGAAGCAUCAUGUUCAAUAUGCAAGAUUUUAUUGUUCUUUGUUAAGGUUGCUUGAACAUUAUGUUUUCGUUAUAUGCACACAAAGACGUGUUCAAUAUGGAACAUUCUCUCAUUGUAGGAUGAUUUCUCACAUAAUCUCCACACAAUUGGAUUGGUAAAUGCUUCAACUUAUUAUCCCGUGAAUUUUUUUGGCUCCCGUUGCAAUGCGCGGGCAUUUAACUAGUCUCUUACAAUCUAAACGUGGGUGCGUUCUCGUAUUGGUAAAAAAAAAACUGCUCUAGUCUGGAUGCUUCUACGUUGUCUUCAGCGGUGUUCGAUCCCACGGUCCGCCUUCCCCAACAUCAUGCUCCUUCUAGUCUCCCCGAGCCGCGCUCCGUUGUCCAGGCCCUCACCCACACCGUCGCCGCCAGAGCCAACGACACACACGUGCGCACGGCAUGAAGGCCGGCGCCACAGAACAUGAGAUGUCAAUGGAUCUGACCUAGAUCCGCUGAGAUCCACACUAUAGAUCGAUGGAUCUAGCAAGAUCCGCCGGCCUUCUUCACAUGCGGAGGGCUGGCGAGGCUUCCGUCACCUUCACCUCUGGCUACCAGAAGGUCGGGGACACAUAGCGAGCUCAGCGGCGAACCUCCCAGACCCGAUCUAGGGGGCCCGCCACUAGACGGGGAGACUCCCUUGUUCAUGAGCACUUCCACGCGGGGGCCGCCGCAAGGCCCCAUGCGCCUCCAUCGCACACCGCCACUCCGUGCCGCACAAGUUGCUACCAACGCCCGCAUCUCCUUCCUCGUCGGCGACGGCCCCACCCCGUGCACACACCUCCUCAUCGCCUUCGCGGUGCUCGACUCCGUGCAGAGUUUGCACUGCCUCCUCUGCUACUGCGGCGGUAGCCGACAUGAGCCCCCAGCGCAGUGCUCGGGUGGGUGUAAGGGCUCAAGCGGGCAUACGAGGAGGCCGCCACCGAGCUCCUCCAUUGCAGCCCCGAUGCCUUCUUCCUCCUCUGUGUCGACAUCGAGGUAGCCAGUGAUAGAAUGACCCCCAAAUCGGCCGGAUCUAGGUGUGCGUUGACCCAAACCAUGGCUUCCCUCACACGCGAUGGCUGGCCCCACGUCGCAUGUGGCCGACACCCCCAAGCUCCCUCCUCCCCGGCGAGGCACGCCGAUGAGUGGUGACCGCCUUCAGACCAUGCCAUUGCGGCCAUCUUCUCCAAGCACCACGAGAAAGAGAGAAAAAGAGGAGAGACAAUGAAUGAGGGGCGGCUAGGGUAAUGGUUCGGGAAACCUUAGCCACCGCCAUUUUAUCUCGCCCGGACAGGCCAUGGGCCAGGGGCCGGAUACAGGGCAAGGCUAGCCCAAAGAGCCGGCCCAAAGGCUAGCCCAGGAUGUUGGAGUGCUGGUUCCUGAGCAGCUCUGAUCAUACUAAUGACUACUUGUCAAGUGACCUGUCACUGUUAUCAUUAAUGACGGGUGAUUUUCUCACCUGUCACUAAUGAUCUGUCAUUAGUGAUGGGUCUGACCCGGAGUUGUUAUUAGUGGUGCGUCCUCAUAAGACCCAUCACUAAUAGGACAUUAGUGACGCGUAAUGAGCAGCCGUCACUAAUGCCGUGUCACAUUUUUGUUGAUUUCUUACGGAAUGCGCGGUCCAUCUAUAAAUAGGUGACCAAUUGCAAAGCUCCCAUAUACAACUUACCUAGCUCACUGGUUGGCAUUGAUCGACGGUCCUUCUGAUGUAUACGUACGUACCUCGAUCAUCAAGAGCAAAGGCCAUAUAUAGCCAUACUACGUAUUCCUUACCUGCUCUGCUAUAGAUCUCCUGUGUCCUGAAUCGAUCUAUUGGUGAGUGCC